AGUGAACGCUGGCGGUAGGCCUAACACAUGCAAGUCGAACGGCAGCACAGUAAGAGCUUGCUCUUACGGGUGGCGAGUGGCGGACGGGUGAGGAAUACAUCGGAAUCUACUUUUUCGUGGGGGAUAACGUAGGGAAACUUACGCUAAUACCGCAUACGACCUACGGGUGAAAGCAGGGGAUCUUCGGACCUUGCGCGAUUGAAUGAGCCGAUGUCGGAUUAGCUAGUUGGCGGGGUAAAGGCCCACCAAGGCGACGAUCCGUAGCUGGUCUGAGAGGAGGAUCAGCCACACUGGAACUUGGACACGGUCCAGACUCCUACGGGAGGCAGCAGUGGGGAAUAUUGGACAAUGGGCGCAAGCCUGAUCCAGCCAUACCGCGUGGGUGAAGAAGGCCUUCGGGUUGUAAAGCCCUUUUGUUGGGAAAGAAAAGCAGCAGGUUAAUACCCCGCUGUUCUGACGGUACCCAAAGAAUAAGCACCGGCUAACUUCGUG
RNAcentral lists this ribosomal RNA (492 nucleotides) under uncultured bacterium. RNAcentral describes it as "partial 16S ribosomal RNA". It matches the Rfam family "Bacterial small subunit ribosomal RNA", at positions 29 to 507 of the family's 1533-position model. The record is from RNAcentral.